GGUGGCAUAACCUGUAUGGGAUUCAGGACGAGAUUCAUAUCCUCGACAAUGUCAGUUCGAAUCUGACUGCCACUAC
RNAcentral lists this transfer RNA (76 nucleotides) under Ignavibacteriaceae bacterium. RNAcentral's name for it is "tRNA-Met". It matches the Rfam family "tRNA". From Rfam's summary of the family: Transfer RNA (tRNA) molecules are approximately 80 nucleotides in length. Their secondary structure includes four short double-helical elements and three loops (D, anti-codon, and T loops). Further hydrogen bonds mediate the characteristic L-shaped molecular structure. tRNAs have two regions of fundamental functional importance: the anti-codon, which is responsible for specific mRNA codon recognition, and the 3' end, to which the tRNAs corresponding amino acid is attached (by aminoacyl-tRNA synthetases). tRNAs cope with the degeneracy of the genetic code in two manners: having more than one tRNA (with a specific anti-codon) for a particular amino acid; and 'wobble' base-pairing, i.e. permitting non-standard base-pairing at the 3rd anti-codon position. The record is from RNAcentral. Lineage: Bacteria; Pseudomonadati; Ignavibacteriota; Ignavibacteria; Ignavibacteriales; Ignavibacteriaceae.